GUGGGGAAUAUUGGGCAAUGGGGGAAACCCUGACCCAGCGACGCCGCGUGAGGGAAGACGGCCUUCGGGUUGUAAACCUCUUUUGUACGGGAAGAAGGAAGUGACGGUACUGUACGAAUAAGUCCCGGCUAACUACGUGCCAGCAGCCGCGGUAAUACGUAGGGGACGAGCGUUGUCCGGAAUUACUGGGCGUAAAGGGCGCGCAGGCUGUGCUGCAAGUCAGCUGGGAAAUGUCUGGGCUUAACCCGGGCAUGCGGUUGAGACUGCAGUGCUGGAGUGCUGUAGAGGCAAGUGGAAUUCCCAGUGUAGCGGUGAAAUGCGUAGAUAUUGGGAAGAACACCGGUGGCGAAGGCGACUUGCUGGGCAGCAACUGACGCUGAGGCGCGAAAGCCAGGGGAGCAAACGGGAUUAGAAACCCUUGUAGUCC
Molecule: ribosomal RNA, 427 nt
Filed under: uncultured bacterium
Lineage: Bacteria
Description: partial 16S ribosomal RNA
Rfam family: Bacterial small subunit ribosomal RNA
Source: RNAcentral